AGUACGGACCGCAAGGUUAAAACCUUCCAAAUGGAAUUGGAACCGGGGGACCCGCCACCAAGCGGGUGGGAAGCAUUGGUGGUUUAAUUUCCGAUGCCAACCGCCGAAAGAACCCUUUACCCUGGUCUUGACAUCCAUCUAUGGAACUUCUUCUAAGAAGAUGAGCAUGUGUGUUGCCUUCUGCGGAACGUAGCUAGAGACAGCGUGCUGCAGUGGCGUGUCGGUCAUGCUCGUCGUUGUCGAAGAUGAUUGGGUUAAUGAUACCCGCAACAGACGCAGCAACCCUUAUCCUUUGUUGCUCGACGCGUGCUCUCUGGCCGGGAACUCUACAUAGAGAGUACAUGCGCACGUGAGUACAACAUCGCGAGAGAAAGUGGGGAUAGACAGCUCAAGUCAUCAUGGCCCUUACGACCAGGGCUACACACGUGCUACAAUGGCAUAUACAAAGAGAAGCGACCUCGCGAGAGCAAGCGGACCUCAUAAAGAUAUGUCUCACUCCGGAUUGUGAGUCUGCGAACUCUCACUCCAUGAAAGAUCGGAAUCUCUAGUAAUCUGCUGGAUCACAAUGCCACGGUGAAUACAUUCCCGGGGCUUGUAGACACCGCCCGUCACACCAUGGGAGUGGGUUGCACAAACAAGUACGUAGCUUAACCUUCUUUAGGGCGCUUACCACUUUGUGAUUCAUGGACUGGGGUGAAGUCAGUAACAG
RNAcentral lists this ribosomal RNA (709 nucleotides) under Citrobacter sp. PWB-50. RNAcentral describes it as "partial 16S ribosomal RNA". It matches the Rfam family "Bacterial small subunit ribosomal RNA", at positions 879 to 1494 of the family's 1533-position model. The record is from RNAcentral. Lineage: Bacteria; Pseudomonadati; Pseudomonadota; Gammaproteobacteria; Enterobacterales; Enterobacteriaceae.